Molecule: ribosomal RNA, 484 nt
Filed under: uncultured bacterium
Lineage: Bacteria
Description: partial 16S ribosomal RNA
Rfam family: Bacterial small subunit ribosomal RNA
Source: RNAcentral
AUUGAACGCUGGCGGCAGGCCUAACACAUGCAAGUCGAGCGGAUGACGGGAGCUUGCUCCUGGAUUCAGCGUCGGACGGGUGAGAAAUGCCUGGGAAUCUGCCUGCCAGUGGGGGAUAACGUCCGGAAACGGGCGCUACUAACGCCUACGUCCUGCGGGAGCAAGAUGGGGAUCUUCGGAACUCACGCUAUCAGAUGAGCCUACGUCGGACUAGCUAGCUGGUGGGGUAAAGGCCUACCAAGCCGACGAUCCGUAACUGGACUGAGAGGAUGAUCAGUCAUACUAGAGCUGAGACACGGACCAGGCUCCUGCGGGAGGGCGCAGUGGGCAAUAUUAGACAAUGGGGGGAAGCCUGAUCCAACCAUGCCACGUGUGAGGAGAAGGUCUUCGGAUUGUAAAGCACGUUAAGUUGGGAGAAAGGGCAGUAAGUUAAUACCUUGCUGUUUUGACGUUACCAGGAGAAUAAGCACCGGCUAACUUCGUG